RNAcentral lists this ribosomal RNA (1493 nucleotides) under uncultured Gammaproteobacteria bacterium. RNAcentral's name for it is "partial 16S ribosomal RNA". It matches the Rfam family "Bacterial small subunit ribosomal RNA". The record is from RNAcentral. Lineage: Bacteria; Pseudomonadati; Pseudomonadota; Gammaproteobacteria.
AGAGUUUGAUCCUGGCUCAGAUUGAACGCUGGCGGUAUGCUUAACACAUGCAAGUCGAACGGAAACGAAACUAGCUUGCUAGUAGGCGUCGAGUGGCGGACGGGUGAGUAACGCGUAGGAAUCUGCCUGAUAGUGGGGGAUAGCCCGAAGAAAUUCGGAUUAAUACCGCAUAAUCUAUUCGUAGUAAAGUGGGGGACUUUCGAGCCUCACGCUAUCAGAUGAGCCUGCGUAAGAUUAGCUUGUUGGUAGGGUAAAAGCCUACCAAGGCAACGAUCUUUAGCUGGUCUGAGAGGAUGAUCAGCCACAUCGGGACUGAGACACGGCCCGAACUCCUACGGGAGGCAGCAGUGGGGAAUAUUGGACAAUGGGGGCAACCCUGAUCCAGCAAUACCGCGUGUGUGAAGAAGGCCUGAGGGUUGUAAAGCACUUUCAAUUGUGAAGAAAAGUUAACGGUUAAUAACCGUUGACCUUGACGUUAACUUUAGAAGAAGCACCGGCUAACUCCGUGCCAGCAGCCGCGGUAAUACGGAGGGUGCAAGCGUUAAUCGGAAUUACUGGGCGUAAAGCGUGCGUAGGCGGUUUAUUAAGUCAGAUGUGAAAGCCCCGGGCUUAACCUGGGAACUGCAUUUGAAACUGGUCAACUAGAGUAUGGUAGAGGAAAGUGGAAUUUCUGGUGUAGCGGUGAAAUGCGUAGAUAUCAGAAGGAACAUCAAUGGCGAAGGCAGCUUUCUGGACCAAUACUGACGCUGAGGUACGAAAGCGUGGGUAGCAAACAGGAUUAGAUACCCUGGUAGUCCACGCCGUAAACGAUGAUAACUAGCCGUUGGGGGGAUUUACCCCUUAGUGGCGAAGCUAACGCGUUAAGUUAUCCGCCUGGGGAGUACGGCCGCAAGGCUAAAACUCAAAGGAAUUGACGGGGACCCGCACAAGCGGUGGAGCAUGUGGUUUAAUUCGAUGCAACGCGAAGAACCUUACCUGGUCUUGACAUCCUGCGAACUUUCUAGAAAUAGAUUGGUGCCUUCGGGAACGCAGUGACAGGUGCUGCAUGGCUGUCGUCAGCUCGUGUCGUGAGAUGUUGGGUUAAGUCCCGUAACGAGCGCAACCCCUAUUUUUAGUUACCAGCGAGUAAUGUCGGGAACUCUAGAAAAACUGCCUGGGCAACCAGUGAGGAAGGUGGGGAUGACGUCAAAUCAUCACGGCCCUUAUGUCUUGGGCUACACACGUGCUACAAUGGUUACUACAAUGUGAUGCCAUCUGGUGACAGAGAGCUAAUCAAUAAAGGUAAUCUCAGUUCGGAUCGGAGUCUGCAACUCGACUCUGUGAAGUUGGAUUCGCUAGUAAUCGUAUAUCAGCAAUGAUACGGUGAAUACGUUCCCGGGCCUUGUACACACCGCCCGUCAAGCCAUGGAAGUUUGGGGUACCUGAAGUCAGUAACCGUAAGGAACUGCCUAGGGUAAAACAAAUAACUAGGGCUAAGUCGUAACAAGGUAACC